UACAGAGGUCCCAAGCGUUGUUCGGAUUCACUGGGCGUAAAGGGUGCGUAGGUGGUCGGGUAAGUCUGAUGUGAAAUCUCCGAGCUCAACCCCGAGCGGUCACUGGAUACUGGCAGGCUUGAGUCUGGAAGAGGAGUGUGGAAUUCCUGGUGUAGCGGUGGAAUGCGCAGAUAUCAGGAGGAACACCUAUGGCGAAGGCAGCACUCUGGUACAUGACUGACGCUGAGACGCGAAAGCGUGGGGAGCAAACAGG
RNAcentral lists this ribosomal RNA (253 nucleotides) under uncultured bacterium. RNAcentral's name for it is "partial 16S ribosomal RNA". It matches the Rfam family "Bacterial small subunit ribosomal RNA", at positions 524 to 776 of the family's 1533-position model. The record is from RNAcentral.